AGAGUUUGAUCAUGGCUCAGAUUGAACGCUGGCGGAAUGCUUUACACAUGCAAGUCGAACGGCAGCACGGGUGCUUGCACCUGGUGGCGAGUGGCGAACGGGUGAGUAAUGCGUCGGAACGUACCGAGUAAUGGGGGAUAACGCGGCGAAAGUCGCGCUAAUACCGCAUACGCCCUGAGGGGGAAAGUGGGGGAUCGCAAGACCUCACGUUAUUCGAGCGGCCGACGUCUGAUUAGCUAGUUGGUGGGGUAAAGGCCUACCAAGGCGACGAUCAGUAGCGGGUCUGAGAGGAUGAUCCGUCACACUGGGACUGAGACACGGCCCAGACUCCUACGGGAGGCAGCAGUGGGGAAUUUUGGACAAUGGGGGCAACCCUGAUCCAGCCAUUCCGCGUGAGUGAAGAAGGCCUUCGGGUUGUAAAGCUCUUUCAGCUGGAACGAAACGGUACGCUCUAACAUAGCGUGCUAAUGACGGUACCGGCAGAAGAAGCACCGGCUAACUACGUGCCAGCAGCCGCGGUAAUACGUAGGGUGCGAGCGUUAAUCGGAAUUACUGGGCGUAAAGCGUGCGCAGGCGGAUUGUUAAGCAGGACGUGAAAGCCCCGGGCUUAACCUGGGAAUGGCGUUUUGAACUG
Molecule: ribosomal RNA, 634 nt
Filed under: uncultured bacterium
Lineage: Bacteria
Description: bacterial SSU rRNA
Rfam family: Bacterial small subunit ribosomal RNA
Source: RNAcentral